ACAGUCCUCAGCACUGAUGAUCUGGGUAACAUUCUUGUCUACCCGUAUUUCCUGGUUAAACUCAAAGCCAAACCACCUUUUUUUUGGGUGCUCGUCAGGAUGAGUGAUGGGACUAUUAACAGAAGACUCUUCGCCCACUGUUUUUGCUCUUGAGAGGCAACUGAGAGCUCAAGAGUGCCUGCCCCGUGAAUCGAGUGAAUCAUUUCCAGUUUCGGGCCAUUCUUCUGCAAUUUCAGCUGGGGCCGAAGACUUCCCAGAGGGUGGUAAAAGAAUAGGGUUGUCUUCACAUGGGAGCUGGAUGUCAAAAUUGUCUUCAGAAGAGGUAGUGGACAUUAUUUCCACAAGGAAAUUCUCAGUAUUACUCCAGAUGAUCAUACAGGAUAUUUGGUAUGACCAAGUUAGAAUUUCUAAAUGUUGUUUUAUCUGUCUCUUUGUUGCAAACUACCAGCACAGAAGAAAACGAGAAACCUAACAAAUUCCCACCAUCAUGUGUGAUGUAGUGUAACAAAUAUUGGUUCGUGAUCAUUUUCCAGGCAGUAUUAUGCUAUGGAAAGUUGGUUGCUCUUUGCCAGAAAUGUCCUGUUUUACGGAAAUUCAAAAUAUUUGAUGACAGAGCCUAGAUUUGAACCAGCAAUCUCUAUAUUGUGAAUGCGUGAGUCCCCACUGACUGGAGGGUUUUGCAGCAUAAAAUCCAGUUAGAAUGUGUUAUCAGGAGCCAGGGUUCUUGCAAUAGGCAUGGUGCUUAAAAAUGCAUAGUGCUUAAAAAUCACCAACUAUGGCAGAAAAACAAGGAAAAAUGACCACAGCAAGAAUCUCAAAGUAUAGAAUGGACAGAAGUGGAAAACAGAUAACAAAAAGAGAAAUCCCUUCAGACAGGCUGUCCCGAACAUGCUUAAUCUAACACUGCGUUGUGAGGGUGGCUGUCCAGUCCUCUGCUGCAGGGGGCAGAGCGGUGGUUCUGUGGCUAAGGAUCUGGGCCUGUGGCUGGAAGGUUGCUGGUCCAAAUCUUACAGCAGGCAGAGGAAUCCUACUUCGUUGGGCCCCUGAGCAAGGCCCUUAACCCCAACUGCUCCAGGGGCACUGUACAAUGGCUGACCCUGUGCUCCCCAGGCCUCUCUCCCUAUCUAUGUGUCUCACAGAGAGCAAGCUGGGGUAUGUGAAAAGAUGAAUUCCUAAUGCAAGAAAUUAUAUAGGACUGUUAUGAUGUUAUGUUAUGUUAGAUGUGUGAGGAAAAUAGUCAAUGAGAAACAUCGUUGUCAGCAUUUUUGUAAUGAAAUAAAGCCUGACAAAGACACCGC
Molecule: long non-coding RNA, 1298 nt
Filed under: Lepisosteus oculatus (spotted gar)
Lineage: Eukaryota; Metazoa; Chordata; Actinopteri; Semionotiformes; Lepisosteidae
Description: lncRNA (ENSLOCG00000021049.1)
Source: RNAcentral